GCACUGCUGAGGAGUCCCACAAUAGGACGAAACAGUCGUCCAGUAC
Schistosoma curassoni is the source of this 46-nucleotide non-coding RNA. NCBI's taxonomy places the organism in Eukaryota, Metazoa, Platyhelminthes, Trematoda, Strigeidida, Schistosomatidae. The record is from Rfam.